This 440-nucleotide ribosomal RNA is filed under the name uncultured bacterium. Its description in RNAcentral is "partial 16S ribosomal RNA". It matches the Rfam family "Bacterial small subunit ribosomal RNA", at positions 338 to 795 of the family's 1533-position model. The record is from RNAcentral.
CCUACGGGGGGCAGCAGUGGGGAAUAUUGCACAAUGGGGGAAACCCUGAUGCAGCGAAGCCGCGUGAGUGAAGAAGUAAUUCGGUAUGUAAAGCUCUAUCAGCCGGGAAGAAAAUGACGGUACCUGAGUAAGAAGCCCCGGCUAACUACGUGCCAGCAGCCGCGGAAAUACGUAGGGGGCCAACGUUACCCGGAUUUACUGGGUGUAAAGGGAGCGUAGACGGGAGUGCAAGUCUGGAGGGAAAGGCGGGGGCUCAACCCCCGGACUGCCCUGGAAACUGUACGGCUGGAGUGCAGGAGAGGUAAGUGGAAUUCCUAGUGUAGCGGUGAAAUGCGUAGAUAUUAGGAGGAACACCAGUGGCGAAGGCGGCUUACUGGACUGUAACUGACGUUGAGGCUCGAAAGCGUGGGGAGCAAACAGGAUUAGAUACCCGUGUAGUC